RNAcentral lists this unclassified non-coding RNA (253 nucleotides) under uncultured Acidobacteriota bacterium. Its description in RNAcentral is "uncultured Acidobacteria bacterium contains 16S-23S intergenic spacer region". It matches the Rfam family "Bacterial small subunit ribosomal RNA", at positions 524 to 776 of the family's 1533-position model. Lineage: Bacteria; Pseudomonadati; Acidobacteriota. The record is from RNAcentral.
GACGGAGGGAGCAAGCGUUGCUCGGAAUUACUGGGCGUAAAGGGCUAGUAGGCGGCCAGGCAAGUCCGGUGUGAAAGCCCUCGGCUCAACCGAGGAAUUGCAUCGGAAACUGCCUGGCUAGAGUCCGGGAGAGGUGAGCGGAAUUCCCAGUGUAGCGGUGAAAUGCGUAGAUAUUGGGAGGAACACCAGCGGCGAAGGCGGCUCACUGGACCGGUACUGACGCUCAGAAGCGAAAGCUAGGGGAGCGAAAGGG